UGGGAAUUUUGGACAAUGGGCGAAAGCCUGAUCCAGCAAUGCCGCGUGUGUGAAGAAGGCCUUCGGGUUGUAAAGCACUUUUGUCCGGAAAGAAAUCCUUGGCUCUAAUACAGUCGGGGGAUGACGGUACCGGAAGAAUAAGCACCGGCUAACUACGUGCCAGCAGCCGCGGUAAUACGUAGGGUGCAAGCGUUAAUCGGAAUUACUGGGCGUAAAGCGUGCGCAGGCGGUUUGCUAAGACCGGUGUGAAAUCCCCGGGCUCAACCUGGGAACUGCAUUGGUGACUGGCAGGCUAGAGUAUGGCAGAGGGGGGUUAGAAUUCCACGUGUAGCAGUGAAAUGCGUAGAGAUGUGGAGGAAUACCGAUGGCGAAGGCAGCCCCCUGGGCCAAUACUGACGCUCAUGCACGAAAGCGUGGGGAGCAAACAGGAUUAGAUACCCUGGUAGUCCACGCCCUAAACGAUGUCAACUAGUUGUUGGGGAUUCAUUUCCUUAGUAACGUAGCUAACGCGUGAAGUUGACCGCCUGGGGAGUACGGUCGCAAGAUUAAAA
RNAcentral lists this ribosomal RNA (551 nucleotides) under uncultured bacterium. Its description in RNAcentral is "partial 16S ribosomal RNA". It matches the Rfam family "Bacterial small subunit ribosomal RNA", at positions 356 to 899 of the family's 1533-position model. The record is from RNAcentral.